RNAcentral lists this ribosomal RNA (253 nucleotides) under uncultured bacterium. RNAcentral's name for it is "partial 16S ribosomal RNA". It matches the Rfam family "Bacterial small subunit ribosomal RNA", at positions 524 to 776 of the family's 1533-position model. The record is from RNAcentral.
UACAGAGGUCUCAAGCGUUGUUCGGAUUCAUUGGGCGUAAAGGGUGUGUAGGUGGCGCCGUAAGUCGGGUGUGAAAUUUCGGAGCUUAACUCCGAAACUGCAUUCGAUACUGCGGUGCUUGAGGACUGGAGAGGAGACUGGAAUUCAUGGUGUAGCAGUGAAAUGCGUAGAUAUCAAGAGGAACACCAGUGGCGAAGGCGAGUCCCUGGACGAUACCUGACACUGAGGCACGAAAGCCAAGGGAGCAAACAGG